RNAcentral lists this ribosomal RNA (460 nucleotides) under uncultured bacterium. RNAcentral's name for it is "partial 16S ribosomal RNA". It matches the Rfam family "Bacterial small subunit ribosomal RNA", at positions 338 to 795 of the family's 1533-position model. The record is from RNAcentral.
CCUACGGGUGGCAGCAGUGAGGAAUAUUGGUCAAUGGACGAGAGUCUGAACCAGCCAAGUAGCGUGAAGGAAGACUGCCCUAUGGGUUGUAAACCUCUUUUAUAAAGGAAUAAAACGAGGCACGUGUGCCUUUUUGCAUGUACUUUAUGAAUAAGGAUCGGCUAACUCCGUGCCAGCAGCCGCGGUAAUACGGAGGAUCCGAGCGUUAUCCGGAUUUAUUUGGGUUAAAGGGAGCGUAGAUGGGUUGUUAAGUCAGUGGGUAAAGUGUGCGGCUCAACAGUAAAAUUGCAAUUGAUACUGGCAGUCUUGAGUACAGUUGAGGUAGGCGGAAUUCGUGGUGUAGCAGUGAAAUGCUUAGAUAUCACGAAGAACCCCGAUUGCGAAGGCAGCUUACUAAACUGUGACUGACACUGAUGCUCGAAAGUGUGGGUAUCAAACAGGAUUAGAUACCCCUGUAGUC